Molecule: non-coding RNA, 228 nt
Filed under: Rhodanobacter spathiphylli
Lineage: Bacteria; Pseudomonadati; Pseudomonadota; Gammaproteobacteria; Lysobacterales; Rhodanobacteraceae
Also listed under: 1 other name
Source: RNAcentral
CUACAGUGCGCAGGUUCAGGUGUCCCGACGGCCUCGCGCCCAAGGGAUGAAACGGGAAGCCGGUGCGCAGUGCACAUCACUGCAAGGCCGGCGCUGCCCCCGCAACGGUAAGCGAGAGACCGAACCGCGAAUGCCACUGUGCGAUGCACGGGAAGGCGCGGUUCGAGGCGAGCGGAGCACCGCCCGCCACUCGUGAGCCCGGAGACCGGCCUGGAUGAUUUCUGGUGG